RNAcentral lists this ribosomal RNA (301 nucleotides) under uncultured bacterium. RNAcentral describes it as "partial 16S ribosomal RNA". It matches the Rfam family "Bacterial small subunit ribosomal RNA", at positions 509 to 807 of the family's 1533-position model. The record is from RNAcentral.
CAGUAGCCGCGGUAAUUCGUAGGUGGCAAGCGUUGUCCGGAAUUAUUGGGCGUAAAGGGCUCGCAGGCGGUUUCUUAAGUCUGAUGUGAAAGCCCCCGGCUCAACCGGGGAGGGUCAUUGGAAACUGGGAAACUUGAGUGCAGAAGAGGAGAGUGGAAUUCCAUGUGUAGCGGUGAGAUGCGUAGAGAUGUGGAGGAACACCAGUGGCGAAGGCGACUCUCUGGUCUGUAACUGACGCUGAGGAGCGAAAGCGUGGGGAGCGAACAGGAUUAGAUACCCCCGUAGUCCCUGUCUCUUAUAC